Molecule: long non-coding RNA, 267 nt
Organism: Neomonachus schauinslandi (Hawaiian monk seal)
Lineage: Eukaryota; Metazoa; Chordata; Mammalia; Carnivora; Phocidae
Exons: 3
Source: RefSeq, a predicted model, not a curated record
CGCGCUGACCCGGCCCGCGUGGUUAAUGAAUCACGGUGUGACACAGCCGCCAGGUCGGAUUUGAACCCAGGCCUCCAAGGAAAGUGUGACGUCAGGUGGCCAUGGAUCCCUGCAAGCUAGGUUAUAAAUGGAGCCCCUCCCUAGGCUUGUCUCUUUAUCCUCCCAGCCAAUAUAUGGAGCAGGCACUGAAAUAACCACAUGGCCUAGCCUGGCUGCUCACAGACGGGACAGCCGAGAUCAUUGGUUUCGGGAACAAGUCUUGUCCAA